UACGGGGGGUGCAAGCGUUGUUCGGAUUUAUUGGGCGUAAAGCGCGUGUAGGCGGUUUGUUAAGUCUGAUGUGAAAGCCCUGGGCUCAACCCAGGAAGUGCAUUGGAAACUGGCAGACUUGAAUACGGGAGAGGGUAGUGGAAUUCCGAGUGUAGAGGUGAAAUUCGUAGAUAUUCGGAAGAACACCAGUGGCGAAGGCGGCUGCCUGGACCGAUAUUGACGCUGAGACGCGAAAGCGUGGGUAGCAAACAGG
This 253-nucleotide ribosomal RNA is filed under the name uncultured bacterium. Its description in RNAcentral is "partial 16S ribosomal RNA". It matches the Rfam family "Bacterial small subunit ribosomal RNA", at positions 524 to 776 of the family's 1533-position model. The record is from RNAcentral.